Molecule: ribosomal RNA, 460 nt
Filed under: uncultured bacterium
Lineage: Bacteria
Description: partial 16S ribosomal RNA
Rfam family: Bacterial small subunit ribosomal RNA
Source: RNAcentral
CCUACGGGGUGCAGCAGUGAGGAAUAUUGGUCAAUGGACGAGAGUUUGAACCAGCCAAGUAGCGUGAAGGAUGACUGCCCUAUGGGUUGUAAACUUCUUUUAUAAAGGAAUAAAACGCGGCACGUGUGCCUUUUUGCAUGUACUUUAUGAAUAAGGAUCGGCUAACUCCGUGCCAGCAGCCGCGGUAAUACGGAGGAUCCGGGCGUUAUCCGGAUUUAUUGGGUUUAAAGGGAGCGUAGAUGGGUUGUUAAGUCAGUUGUGAAAGUUUGCGGCUCAACCGUAAAAUUGCAAUUGAUACUGGCAGGCUUGAGUACAGUUGAGGUAGGCGGAAUUCGUGGUGUAGCGGUGAAAUGCUUAGAUAUCACGAAGAACCCCGAUUGCGAAGGCAGCUUACUAAACUGUGACUGACAUUGAUGCUCGAAAGUGUGGGUAUCAAACAGGAUUAGAUACCCCUGUAGUC